RNAcentral lists this ribosomal RNA (467 nucleotides) under uncultured bacterium. Its description in RNAcentral is "partial 16S ribosomal RNA". It matches the Rfam family "Bacterial small subunit ribosomal RNA", at positions 28 to 507 of the family's 1533-position model. The record is from RNAcentral.
GAUGAACGCUGGCGGCGUGCUUAACACAUGCAAGUCGAACGGAAAGGCCCAAGCUUGCUUGGGUACUCGAGUGGCGAACGGGUGAGUAACACGUGGGUGAUCUGCCCUGCACUUCGGGAUAAGCCUGGGAAACUGGGUCUAAUACCGGAUAGGACGAUGGUUUGGAUGCCAUUGUGGAAAGUUUUUUCGGUGUGGGAUGAGCUCGCGGCCUAUCAGCUUGUUGGUGGGGUAAUGGCCUACCAAGGCGUCGUCGGGUAGCCGGCCUGGGAGGGUGUACGGCCACAUUGGGACUGAGAUACGGCCCAGACUCCUACGGGAGGCAGCAGUGGGGAAUAUUGCACAAUGGGCGCGAGCCUGAUGCAGCGACGCCGGGUGGGGGAUGACGGCCUUCGGGUUGUAAACUCCUUUCGCUAGGGACGAAGCGUUUUGUGACGGUACCUGGAGAAGAAGCACCGGCUAACUACGUG